This 246-nucleotide ribosomal RNA is filed under the name uncultured bacterium. RNAcentral's name for it is "partial 16S ribosomal RNA". It matches the Rfam family "Bacterial small subunit ribosomal RNA", at positions 9 to 236 of the family's 1533-position model. The record is from RNAcentral.
GAGUUUGAUCGUGGCUCAGGAUGAACGCUGGCGGCGUGCCUAACACAUGCAAGUCGAACGAAGCACUUUUACUCGAUUCUUCGGAUGAUGGUAAUAGUGACUGAGUGGCGGACGGGUGAGUAACGCGUGGGUAACCUGCCUCAUACAGGGGGAUAACAGUUAGAAAUGACUGCUAAUACCGCAUAAGACCACGGAGUCGCAUGACUCAGUGGGAAAAACUCCGGUGGUAUGAGAUGGACCCCGCGU